AAGACUAUACUUUCAGGGAUCAUUUCUGUAGUUUGUUACUAGAGAAGUUUCUCUGAACGUAUAGAGCACCAUUAAAAAAUUUUU
Callithrix jacchus (white-tufted-ear marmoset) is the source of this 84-nucleotide small nucleolar RNA. Its record names the gene U3. It matches the Rfam family "Small nucleolar RNA U3". Rfam says of the family: Small nucleolar RNAs (snoRNAs) are involved in the processing and modification of rRNA in the nucleolus. There are two main classes of snoRNAs: the box C/D class, and the box H/ACA class. The record is from Ensembl. Lineage: Eukaryota; Metazoa; Chordata; Mammalia; Primates; Cebidae.